UCCAUACUGCCUUUAGUCUGUUUUAGUGGCUGCACUUUGGUAACCCUUUCACCAGGCAGUGCCUAUAUUAUUGGGUCAUACAUGUUAUAUGGCAUAUGGAGUAAUCUUGUCUCUUAAUAUCAGGGAUCAGCUUUCAGGGUAGCAUCUUCAACUACCCUGUUCAGGGGUGUCCCAAUGCAUAAUGUUUUGCUGUGACAGGCUGGUCCUGCUACACACCAGGCAUGACUGAUGUCUUUCUUCGGACAAUCAGAAUCUGAGGGACACGUUGUAACAGCGUCAUGAACUGUACAGGGUUCUUCAUCCUGACCACCAGGGGGUUCUAGGUGCUCCCUGGGUGUGAUAAAAGGUGAGAAAGUAGUAGAGUGAGAGAGAGGACAGCAUGGUGUGCCUUGUGUUCCUUCUCUGCCUUGAGAGACCAUCCGUGUUGGGAAAUGUAAUUGUUUGCUGCUCAAUUAAGGAUUUUGGUUUAUGUACUACACUUCUUGUACAUCAACUCAUGCUAUGGGAAUAAUGUGGAUGUGCUAUCAUUAUAGAAGUGCCUGAUGUGCCAGGACAUAUGGGACAUUCCCUACAUUAUGUCUGGAAGUUACCACAAGUACAAUUAUUCUUUCCAUUGUUAAAACUGGCUGUGAUUUUUUGGUUAUUUGUUAAUUUCUACUAUCUUUGUUUGUUUUUUGUUUGGUCAUUGUUUGUACUCAUGCAUGGUCUAAAUGGAAUCUCUGAAGAAUUGAGUCAUUGAUAAACACGGAUUUUUUUGUUUGCAUACCAAAAGAACUUAAUCCACAAACAGGUUAAAUAAAAACCUCUAUUGAUGUA
Long non-coding RNA from Tachysurus fulvidraco (yellow catfish), 816 nucleotides. RefSeq lists it as uncharacterized. NCBI's taxonomy places the organism in Eukaryota, Metazoa, Chordata, Actinopteri, Siluriformes, Bagridae. The transcript has 2 exons. The record is from RefSeq and is a predicted model, not a curated record.